CAGCAGCCGCGGUAAAACGUAGGUGGCAAGCGUUGUCCGGAAUUAUUGGGCGUAAAGGGCUCGCAGGCGGUUUCUUAAGUCUGAUGUGAAAGCCCCCGGCUCAACCGGGGAGGGUCAUUGGAAACUGGGAAACUUGAGUGCAGAAGAGGAGAGUGGAAUUCCACGUGUAGCGGUGAAAUGCGUAGAGAUGUGGAGGAACACCAGUGGCGAAGGCGACUCUCUGGUCUGUAACUGACGCUGAGGAGCGAAAGCGUGGGGAGCAAACAGGAUUAGAUACCCCCGUAGUCCCUGUCUCUUAUAA
RNAcentral lists this ribosomal RNA (301 nucleotides) under uncultured bacterium. Its description in RNAcentral is "partial 16S ribosomal RNA". It matches the Rfam family "Bacterial small subunit ribosomal RNA", at positions 509 to 809 of the family's 1533-position model. The record is from RNAcentral.